This 68-nucleotide transfer RNA is filed under the name Brycon nattereri. Its description in RNAcentral is "tRNA-Phe". It matches the Rfam family "tRNA". From Rfam's summary of the family: Transfer RNA (tRNA) molecules are approximately 80 nucleotides in length. Their secondary structure includes four short double-helical elements and three loops (D, anti-codon, and T loops). Further hydrogen bonds mediate the characteristic L-shaped molecular structure. tRNAs have two regions of fundamental functional importance: the anti-codon, which is responsible for specific mRNA codon recognition, and the 3' end, to which the tRNAs corresponding amino acid is attached (by aminoacyl-tRNA synthetases). tRNAs cope with the degeneracy of the genetic code in two manners: having more than one tRNA (with a specific anti-codon) for a particular amino acid; and 'wobble' base-pairing, i.e. permitting non-standard base-pairing at the 3rd anti-codon position. The record is from RNAcentral. Lineage: Eukaryota; Metazoa; Chordata; Actinopteri; Characiformes; Bryconidae.
GCUAGCGUAGCUUAAAUAAAGCAUAACAUUGAAGAUGUUAAGAUGAACCGUAAAAAGUUCCGCACGCA